GACGAACCGUGCGAACGUUGUUCGGAAUCACUGGGCUUAAAGGGCGCGUAGGCGGGCUGCCAAGUCCGGGGUGAAAGCUUUCGGCUCAACCGGAAAAGUGCCUUGGAUACUGGCGGUCUCGAGGGAGGUAGGGGCAUGUGGAACUUCCGGUGGAGCGGUGAAAUGCGUUGAUAUCGGAAGGAACGCCGGUGGCGAAAGCGACGUGCUGGACCUCUUCUGACGCUGAGGCGCGAAAGCUAGGGGAGCGAACGGGAUUAGAUACCCCGGUAGUCCUAGCCCUAAACGAUGGGUACUAGAUAGUAGACUUGACAUGGGUUUACUGUCGAAGCAAAAGUGUUAAGUACCCCGCCUGGGGAGUAUGGUCGCAAGGCUGAA
RNAcentral lists this ribosomal RNA (375 nucleotides) under uncultured bacterium. RNAcentral describes it as "bacterial SSU rRNA". It matches the Rfam family "Bacterial small subunit ribosomal RNA", at positions 524 to 898 of the family's 1533-position model. The record is from RNAcentral.